CAGUCGCCGCGGUAAUACGAAGGGGGCUAGCGUUGUUCGGAAUCACUGGGCGUAAAGCGCACGUAGGCGGAUUUUUAAGUCAGGGGUGAAAUCCCGAGGCUCAACCUCGGAACUGCCUUUGAUACUGGAAAUCUUGAGUCCGGGAGAGGUGAGUGGAACUGCGAGUGUAGAGGUGAAAUUCGUAGAUAUUCGCAAGAACACCAGUGGCGAAGGCGGCUCACUGGCCCGGAACUGACGCUGAGGUGCGAAAGCGUGGGGAGCAAACAGGAUUAGAUACCCCAGUAGUCCCUGUCUCUUAUAA
This 301-nucleotide ribosomal RNA is filed under the name uncultured bacterium. RNAcentral describes it as "partial 16S ribosomal RNA". It matches the Rfam family "Bacterial small subunit ribosomal RNA", at positions 509 to 809 of the family's 1533-position model. The record is from RNAcentral.